GCGAGAAUGGCGGAAUUGGCAGACGCGCACGGUUCAGGUCCGUGUGAAAGCAAUUUCAUGCAGGUUCAAGUCCUGUUUCUCGCACCA
RNAcentral lists this transfer RNA (87 nucleotides) under Clostridiales bacterium. RNAcentral's name for it is "tRNA-Leu". It matches the Rfam family "tRNA". From Rfam's summary of the family: Transfer RNA (tRNA) molecules are approximately 80 nucleotides in length. Their secondary structure includes four short double-helical elements and three loops (D, anti-codon, and T loops). RNAcentral also lists the same sequence under 3 other names. The record is from RNAcentral. Lineage: Bacteria; Bacillati; Bacillota; Clostridia; Eubacteriales.